This is a long non-coding RNA of Papaver somniferum (opium poppy), 2657 nucleotides long. RefSeq lists it as uncharacterized. Lineage: Eukaryota; Viridiplantae; Streptophyta; Magnoliopsida; Ranunculales; Papaveraceae. The record is from RefSeq and is a predicted model, not a curated record. The transcript has 4 exons.
UUUCUUUUCAAAACUAAAUCCUGGAAACAAGUCUUUCUUCUUCUCUUACCUUGUGAUUCCACCAUUUUUCUUCCCCUCAUUUUUACUGAUUUUCAAGACAAACCUCGAAAAAAAGAGAGGAAAGUUAUUGGUUUCCAGUGCAAAUUCUGGCUCAACCCACACCCCAAAUUUCGCUGAAUUUGUGUUCUACAAAGAGGACGAGAGGAGCUUGUAGCAGUAAGCUUGGGAGGAGCUUACGGCUAGAACUUGAGCAAAAGUGGUAUUUUUGCUUUUCCAUAAUGUGUAUAUCAUGAGGUUAUCUGGGUGGUUUUGAACUUCUUGCUUGAGUCGUGCUACUGUUAUACUUUGUUAUGUAUAUUUGCGUCGCCGCAUGGUUCCUCUUUGCAUUUUGCUUCAUUUUGAUGUGUAACAAUUUGUAAAGGCCAUGGUAUUAUGCACGUUUUAAUUUUGGGCGUUUUUUGGGGUUGUUUUGAAUUCCUUGUCGUCUAUUAUCAAUGUAUUACUGACCCAUCAUAUAUGUUAUUGUCCUUCCAUAUUUCUUCUGAUACAUUAAUUACUAAGUCAUGGAUUUAAUGGUUUUCGCGUGUAUUUGUUUAGGUUCCCUCUACUGUUAACGGUAGGAGUAGAAGUAGUUGCAAAUUAUGUAAUGUUUUCCUAAAUGUAAUGUGUACUUCACACACAGUCUGCAUUAUGUACUAUUUUGGAUUUAUCUAAACUAAACUGGGUACUUGGACUAUUAAGGUUGCAGUUGCUUCAUGUCAUUCCAGUCUUCUUUAGAAUAUGGUAUUCAAUCUCAUCUCUGAACUGGGUAUAUUUCUGAAGCUAGCAUAUGUAUACAUUGUUACUAUACUUUUUCCUAGUGCCCAUUAUUAAAAAUAAUAAUAAUACUAAUUAUGAAGAUCAUUUCACUUCUCUAGUUUUAUGAAGCUGCAAUCAGAAAUUUUCAUUUCUUGUUUCUGUGUCUGAUGUUAAUUUUUGGCACUCGUUCUUAUUUGAUUUAUGGAGAUACGUAUAUUUUUUAAUUUUUAUUUUAACUUACGAGUGACGUACCGAGGGGUUUGCUCUGCUAGUCGGGUUGAAAACCAACCCGUUUAGACGGGAAAUUCCCUGGUCCGCUACAGUUGGCAUCAGAGCCCAUGUUCCGAUUUACCGGGGCUGUGGUUCCCUUUCUUAUUUGAUUAAGUUAUUUGAUUUUGUCAUUUUGUUUUGGGGAUUUUGGAAAAACCAGAAACCGUGAUAUACAUAUUAUUCUGUGUGUUAGUAAUGUACAUUACUAACCAAUUGUGAGUCUAAUACGUUAUCUAUUUUGAAGAUGUCGCGGUGUUAAAAAUUUGUAGCCUCAAGCUUCGUCCCUAGGAUUCUCAAGCUCCGUAUGUAAGGAAGAACAAAAAUUCUUAGCGGGAGAACUGCACGCCUUGAGAACGAUUCGAAAAAACUGCUCUAUCGUUAAUGAGCAUUAGACGCAAGUGAAAGUGGAGCAUCAGUAACCAUAAUGACCAUUAUAGUCAUUGUCAAUAGUCGAAUAGUAGUGGGAUUUUGUCGCUGUGGAUUUUCUAAGGAGUUACCUAAGGUUCAGCAAGGAAUGGAAGGGACAGUAUGACUAUCGAUUGACUAGCGCCACUCCCUAUGCAACUUGUACUUCAUAGAGAUUGUCAUGAUACAUGGAAUUUCUUCGCCAACCGUUUAGAGCGACCUCUUGUUCACGUACAAGUAUUAGGGAGUUUCCAUCUAGCUUUGGGCAUCGAGCUAGAUUUGAUUAUUGUUUCCCAUCCUCAGUAAAUGGUUAAGAGUGGGCUUCUCAAAAUUAGGAAGACAUGUUGUAGGCACACGUACGACUUCAAGGACAGUUGGAGGAUGCUCUUGAAGUGAAUCACAUAUCCAAGCUUCGAAGACGCGACGUUGACCCUUAUCACGCGAUUAGGUGACAAGAUUUGCAGUCGCGCAAGAUUAUGACUUAUGAUCGAAAGUCGGUACUCGUUAUCGUUAUCUGAUGGAUCCAAUCCUUCGGGUAAAAACCGUUUAGGCGACGAAUGAAGCGUGGCAGCAUCACUUUCUAGAGGAAGGCACUUGGAAGCUAGAGUUUGAUGGGAGGGACAAGUAACCGGGCUACUUGAAGAGGACGAGAGGAGCUUGUAGCAGUAAGCUUGGGAGGAGCUUACGGCUAGAACUUGAGCAAAAGUGGUAUUUUUGCUUUUCCAUAAUGUGUAUAUCAUGAGGUUAUAUGGGUGGUUUUGAACUUCUUGCUUGAGUCGUGCUACUGUUAUACUUUGUUAUGUAUAUUUGCGUCGCCGCAUGGUUCCUCUUUGCAUUUUGCUUCAUUUGAUGUGUAACAAUUUGUAAAGGCCAUGGUAUUAUGCACGGUCUAAUUUUGGGCGUUUUUUGUGGUUGUUUUGAAUUCCUUGCCGUCUGGUUUCAAUGUAUUACUGACCCAUCAUAUAUGUUAUUGUCCUUCCAUAUUUUUGCCGAUACAUUAAGUACUAAUUCAUGGAUUUAAUGGUUUUCGCGCGUAUUUGUUUAGGUUCCCUCUACUGUUAACGGUAGGAGUAGAAGUAGUUGCAAAUUAUGUAAUGUUUUCCUAAAUGUAACGUGUACUUCACACACAGUCUGCAUUAUGUACUAUUUUGAAUUUAUCUAAACUAAACUGGGUACUUGGACUA